Molecule: ribosomal RNA, 404 nt
Filed under: uncultured bacterium
Lineage: Bacteria
Description: bacterial SSU rRNA
Rfam family: Bacterial small subunit ribosomal RNA
Source: RNAcentral
UGGGGGAUAUUGGACAAUGGGGGAAACCCUGAUCCAGCGACGCCGCGUGAGUGAAGAAGUAUUUCGGUAUGUAAAGCUCUAUCAGCAGGGAAGAAAAUGACGGUACCUGACUAAGAAGCCCCGGCUAACUACGUGCCAGCAGCCGCGGUAAUACGUAGGGGGCAAGCGUUAUCCGGAUUUACUGGGUGUAAAGGGAGCGUAGACGGCGCGGCAAGUCUGAAGUGAAAGGCAGGGGCUUAACCCCUGAACUGCUUUGGAAACUGCCAUGCUAGAGUGCUGGAGAGGUAAGUGGAAUUCCUAGUGUAGCGGUGAAAUGCGUAGAUAUUAGGAGGAACACCAGUGGCGAAGGCGGCUAUCUGGCACAUAACUGACGCUGAGGAGCGAAAGCGUGGGUAGCAAACAGG